CUCCUCCUCAGUGGAAAGGGUAAAGCCUUUCGCUUAAACCCCGACCACACGCAGCCGCCGCCGGCGAUCCUUUUCCCUCCUCCCAUGUCGUGCGCCGCUGCGGCAGCCCCGGGGAGGCACACGGAAGCUCAACGCCCGAGCUCGACGCCCUCCACACAGUAGCCCGCGGCGCGCGCCCCCGCCAUGAAACCCUGCCCCUUCGGAUGCGCUUCCGACCGCCCAUUCCCCUCCGCCUCCUCCUGCCUCAGCUCUGGCGCCGUCCUUCGCUUCCUCCCGCACUUCUCCCUAGGCCCAUAUCCUCAUGUCCUUCCGCGGCAGCCGUGGUGGCGGCCACGGAUUCCGAGGAGGAUGCCGUGGUUGCUAGGGAUCCACUGCUAGCGCCUCAUUUUGUGGGCGGGGUAGGAGGGUCGCCUAGAUUUGGGGAGGGCAAGGCGGAGUUCGAGAGAAAGGCCUCGAUUGCCGCAAGGAUCAAGCUCUGCUAUGAACUGCUGCGACAGAGGAGGUGGCGGGAGAUGCGGGGCGGCUUGGCACAGAUGGUCAGCGAACAAGGAUCUGGGUCUGCAGCCACUCUCUGUGACAUCUUGUGGAGUGAAUUCAGAGAGUAUGAUUCCAGCGGUGUUGUAUGGGAUGCUCUAGCAAAUAGUUAUGCAAGAACUCAGAUGAUUCAUGAUGCUCUUUACGUUCUCAGUAAAAUGAACAGCCUGAAUAUGCAAAUAUCAGUUUCCACCUAUGAUAGUUUAUUGUAUGGUCUACGGAUGACAGACAUGGCAUUGGAGCUUUUUGAUGAAAUGGAGGCAUAUGGUAUCCCUUACAGCGAAUAUUCACAUAGCAUUCUCAUAGAUGGCCUCUGCAAGCAAAAUAAAGUUGGAGAGGCUUUAUCUUUCCUUCAGGAGGCAAGGGAAGGGGGAACAUUUAGACCAUUGGGAAUGUCCUUUAACACUCUGAUGUCUGCAUUGUGUAAUUGGGGAUUUAUUCAGCCUGCAAAAUCCUUUUUAUGUCUGAUGCUGAAGUAUGGAUUAAACCCUAACAGGUAUACCUAUUCUACACUUAUACAUGGUCUGUGUAAGGUAGGUUACCUAGAUGAAGCAGUGAAUCUUCUUGAGAGAGUGACAAAAGAAGGAAUGAAACUUGAGACUGUCACCUACAACAGCCUUAUUAAUGGUUACCGAUUGCUUGGUUUAACAAGAGAAAUUCCGAAAAUAAUUCAGUUUAUGAGAUACCAAGGGAUUGAACCUGAUCUUGUUACUUAUACUAUACUUAUUGCUGGCCACUGCGAAGGUGGUGAUGUUGAAGAAGGGAUGAAGAUAAGAAAGGACAUCCUAGACCAAGGGCUGCAGUUGAAUAUUGUCACAUACAGUGUCCUUCUAAAUGCUCUCUUCAAAAAGGGUUUGGUCUAUGAGGUUGAGAAUUUACUUGGUGAGAUAUAUAGUUUUGGUCUAGAUAUGGAUGUCAUUGCAUAUUCCAUCCUCAUCCACGGGUACUGCAAGCUAGGGGAAAUUGAAAGGGCACUGGAAGUUUGUGAUGUUAUGUGCUGUUCUCAGAAGGUAAUGCCAACCUCACCGAACCAUUUAUCAAUUCUUCUUGGACUUUGCAAGAAAGGACUGCUAGUUGAAGCAAGAUGGUAUUUGGAAAAUGUAGCUAGCAGAUAUCAGCCAGGUGAUGUAAUACUUUAUAAUGUAGUCAUUGAUGGUUAUGCGAAGAUUGGUGAUAUUGGUAAUGCUGUCCGUCUGUAUGAUCAGAUUGUUGUGGCUGGUAUGAAUCCAACCAUUAUCACAUGUAAUUCUCUUCUGUAUGGCUAUUGCAAAUUUGGGGAUUUACCAGCUGCAGAGAGCUAUUUCAGGGCUAUUGAGAUAAGUAAUUUGCUGCCAACAGCAGUAACAUACACGACCUUUAUGGAUGCACUCUCUGAAGCUGGAAAAGUUAACGCUGUGCUCAGUCUUUUUUAUGAAAUGGUUGAAAAAGGGAUCAAGCCAAAUGCUGUAACUUACAGUGUUGUUAUUAAAGGACUUUGUAAGCAGCUCAGAUUCCGUGAUGCUGUCCAUUUUCUGGACAAUAUGGAUGGAGAAGGUAUUAAUGCCGACCCAAUAACUUACAAUACGCUUAUACAAGGAUUCUGCGAAGCACAUGACAUCCAGAUGGCUUUUUGCGUACAUGACCGUAUGUUAUGCUGUCGUCUAGUGCCCACACCUGUUACUUAUAACUUGCUUAUCAAUGUGCUGUGCUUGAAGGGGAAAGUUAUUCAAGCAGAAAUGCUACUGGAAUCCCUCAGAGAAAAGGGCAUUGCAUUGAGAAAAUUUGCAUACACAACAGUAAUCAAAGCUCAGUGUGCAAAAGGAAGGCCUUACGAUGCCAUUUCAUUUGUUGGUAAGCUUAUUGAUGAUGGUUUUGAAGCUUCUAUUGAAGACUUCAGUGCUGCAAUCAAUCGACUUUGCAAAAGGAAUUUUCCUAAAGAAGCCAUUAUGUUCAUUCCGAUUAUGUUGUCUGUUGGUGUUUUCCCAGACACGCAAGUUUAUUUUGUGCUUGUUAGAGCUCUGCGGAAAAGUAACAUGCUUUACUAUAUACCCAUAUUGCACGCACUUUCUGUCAAAACUGGCAUAUAGUACCCUGAUCAUGUAUUGAGUGUUAAUGACUUGAGGUUCUGUGUCCUCAAAUGUUUGUAUAGAUGAGGAUUGAGGACAACAUGGGCUGCAUGUAACCACAUGAUCAGUGCAGUUAUGCCAAGGCAUAAGGCAUAUUACAAGUGAAACUGUGAACGUCCAUAAGUCAUAGUAAAAGUCGUGCAUUGGAGACAUUGAAAAGUGAAAUGGGCCUCAUAUUCCUAGAUAGAGGGAGUAAUCAGUUUGGAUGUAUCAACAAUCAAACAUAUGCAACGACCUUUCAUCAGCUCAUUUCAGAUGCAGUGAGAGUAGACUGGGGAUAUUUCGCUGAUCAUGCUUUGAUCCUCAAAAAUGUGUUUUCCCUCUUUUCUCACGAUAUGCAGGACCAUUGAUGUUCAGUAGUAUACUACAAUUGAAAUACACCAGGUUCUAAACUCAAGAUCGAACGGCGUUAAGGUGAGCCAUCACCAUCGCCCAGCCCUACCUUGUCGCUGACUGGAGUAACAAGAUAGGAAACAAACUGAGCGUGAAUCUGCGAGUGGCAGUGGUCAUGGAGGCAGCCAAUUAAGCGUCAUCGGGAGCUGACCAGAGGUGGGGGGAUAUGUACUUCCAACGGCACACAAAGAUGUCACCGCGCCAGUGGAACAUCAGCACUGUAACAACAAUUUUACUUUGCUAUUCAACGGUCACUGUGCGAGCAUACUCGCAGAAAACCAAGUUGAUCCCAGGAAAUCCAUGAACGCACUUGUCGGAUGGAAGAGGACAUGGCCUGAGGCUAGGCAUCUCUAUCUGGGCAGGGUGGUCCAUAAUAUUCUGCAAGAUUUCUUCCAUGGAGCUAGCACCUCCUGAGAUCUAAAUGAGCGUGCAUGACCGAAAGCCAAAACUUGAGGGAUGGGUACAUGGGUGUUGGCCGUUUGUUAACUCUACUCAGCACACGUUCCUGUCAGUUUUCGUCCUUGAUGUGCUCUAGUCGUUUUCGAUCCUUUACUGAGCAAGGCUCCGCGUUUCCUGUCUUUACGCAGUUUUUCGCGGUUGCAUGCGUGGCUGUUGAUCCUGUAUAGUUUUCUGUUGUUGAUGUAUGUUGUAAUCAUAUCAUGCUUACUGGUGGUCAGAGGCAACAGUUGUUUGUAUUAAGAGGUACGAAAUCAAUGAUGUGCAUUGUUGAACUGUA
RNA transcript from Hordeum vulgare subsp. vulgare (domesticated barley), 3768 nucleotides. It is a transcript of the gene named putative pentatricopeptide repeat-containing protein At1g13630, with no coding region annotated. NCBI's taxonomy places the organism in Eukaryota, Viridiplantae, Streptophyta, Magnoliopsida, Poales, Poaceae. The record is from RefSeq and is a predicted model, not a curated record. The transcript is spliced from 7 exons.